RNAcentral lists this ribosomal RNA (497 nucleotides) under uncultured bacterium. Its description in RNAcentral is "partial 16S ribosomal RNA". It matches the Rfam family "Bacterial small subunit ribosomal RNA", at positions 28 to 507 of the family's 1533-position model. The record is from RNAcentral.
GAUGAACGCUGGCGGCGUGCCUAAUACAUGCAAGUCGAGCGAACAGACGAGGAGCUUGCUCCUUCGACGUUAGCGGCGGACGGGUGAGUAACACGUAGGUAACCUACCUAUAAGACUGGGAUAACUUCGGGAAACCGGAGCUAAUACCGGAUAAUAUUUUGAACCGCAUGGUUCGAUAGUGAAAGACGGCUUUGCUAUCACUUAUAGAUGGACCUGCGCCGUAUUAGCUAGUUGGUACGGUAACGGCUUACCAAGGCAACGAUGCGUAGCCGACCUGAGAGGGUGAUCGGCCACACUGGAACUGAGACACGGUCCAGACUCCUACGGGAGGCAGCAGUAGGGAAUCUUCCGCAAUGGGCGAAAGCCUGACGGAGCAACGCCGCGUGAGUGAUGAAGGUCUUCGGAUCGUAAAACUCUGUUAUUAGGGAAGAACAAACGUGUAAGUAACUGUGCACGUCUUGACGGUACCUAAUCAGAAAGCCACGGCUAACUACGUG